RNAcentral lists this ribosomal RNA (656 nucleotides) under Paenibacillus chitinolyticus. RNAcentral's name for it is "bacterial SSU rRNA". It matches the Rfam family "Bacterial small subunit ribosomal RNA", at positions 79 to 719 of the family's 1533-position model. Lineage: Bacteria; Bacillati; Bacillota; Bacilli; Caryophanales; Paenibacillaceae. The record is from RNAcentral.
CUUGCUUCUCUGAUGGUUAGCGGCGGACGGGUGAGUAACACGUAGGCAACCUGCCUGUAAGAUCGGGAUAACUACCGGAAACGGUAGCUAAGACCGGAUAACCGGUUUCUCCGCAUGGGGAGAUCGUGAAACACGGAGCAAUCUGUGGCUUACGGAUGGGCCUGCGGCGCAUUAGCUAGUUGGUGAGGUAACGGCUCACCAAGGCGACGAUGCGUAGCCGACCUGAGAGGGUGAACGGCCACACUGGGACUGAGACACGGCCCAGACUCCUACGGGAGGCAGCAGUAGGGAAUCUUCCGCAAUGGACGCAAGUCUGACGGAGCAACGCCGCGUGAGUGAUGAAGGUUUUCGGAUCGUAAAGCUCUGUUGCCAGGGAAGAACGCCAAGGAGAGUAACUGCUCUUUGGGUGACGGUACCUGAGAAGAAAGCCCCGGCUAACUACGUGCCAGCAGCCGCGGUAAUACGUAGGGGGCAAGCGUUGUCCGGAAUUAUUGGGCGUAAAGCGCGCGCAGGCGGUUUUUUAAGUCUGGUGUUUAAUCCCGAGGCUCAACCUCGGUUCGCACCGGAAACUGGGAGACUGGAGUGCAGGAGAGGAAAGUGGAAUUCCACGUGUAGCGGUGAAAUGCGUAGAGAUGUGGAGGAACACCAGUGGCGAA